CCCUUAGAUGCUCUGGGCCGCACGCGCGCUACACUGGUCGAUGCAACGAGUUUCUUUCCUUGGCCGACAGGCCUGGGCAAUCUUUGAACAUCGAUCGUGAUCGGGAUAGAUUCUUGUAAUUUUUGAUCUUAAACGAGGAAUCCCUAGUAAACGCAAGUCAUCAGCUUGCAUUGAUUACGUCCCUGCCCUUUGUACACACCGCCCGUCGCACCUACCGAUUGAAUGGUCCGGUGAAAUCUCCGGACUGGCGUGAGUCGGAGCAAUCUGACAAACACCGGAAAGUUGAUUAAACCUUACCAUUUAGAGGAAGGUGAAGUCGUAACA
This 324-nucleotide ribosomal RNA is filed under the name uncultured eukaryote. RNAcentral's name for it is "partial 18S ribosomal RNA". It matches the Rfam family "Eukaryotic small subunit ribosomal RNA", at positions 1470 to 1796 of the family's 1831-position model. The record is from RNAcentral.